CCCUUAGAUGUUCUGGGCUGCACGCGCGCUACACUGAUGCGCUCAACGAGUUUUAACCUUGCCUGGAAAGGUUGGGUAAUCUUUUUAAAACGCAUCGUGAUGGGGAUAGAUUAUUGCAAUUAUUAAUCUUCAACGAGGAAUUCCUAGUAAGCGCGAGUCAUCAGCUCGUGCUGAUUACGUCCCUGCCCUUUGUACACACCGCCCGUCGCUCCUACCGAUUGAUUAACUCGGUGAGGACUUGGGGGGUGGCCUGGUUGCCUUUCUUUGGCGGCCGGCGCUGCCGAACUUGUUCAAAUCGCGUUAAUUAGAGGAAGGUGAAGUCGUAACA
Molecule: ribosomal RNA, 328 nt
Filed under: uncultured eukaryote
Lineage: Eukaryota
Description: partial 18S ribosomal RNA
Rfam family: Eukaryotic small subunit ribosomal RNA
Source: RNAcentral